UGGUUAGUUAUGGGUAAAAUGCGCAAAUAUUUUAAAUAAGCAAGUGGUUAUAAAAUAUUCAUUGUUGUCGGGGAAUAUUCGUUUGGUCGUGGAAUAUUCUUACUGUCGGGGAAUAUUCGUACGACGGCGCAGCCUUGUGUGGGCCCAUAACGGAAAGCGAUUGGAUGAAGAAAACGACAAGUAUAAGUUGUUUAUAAAUAACGACGCAGUUGUUACCGUUAAUACUGUUGGAAUACCCGAUGGUUAAAACGCAGUAAUACGCGUUGUUGAACAG
RNAcentral lists this long non-coding RNA (274 nucleotides) under Panax ginseng (ginseng). Its description in RNAcentral is "long non-coding RNA (PGIN_LNC010178)". Lineage: Eukaryota; Viridiplantae; Streptophyta; Magnoliopsida; Apiales; Araliaceae. The record is from RNAcentral.